GGGGCUGAUUUUUGGGCGCGGCUGUGCCCGUGGCCUAUUUUUGGCACACGGAGGCUGCCCGCAAAGUCUGGGGCCAUUCCGAGUCCGGCGGACGAACUUCGCCCACGCCCCCCACCAAGGCUAUAGCCCAGCCGAUUUUUGGUCGUUUUUCCGCUGGGGGGUAUUGGCUCCCCGACCUUCGGGGGCUGAUUUUUGGGCGCGGCUGUGCCCGUGGCCUAUUUUUGGCACACGGAGUCCGCCCGAAAAGUCUUGGGCCAUUCCGAGUCCGGCGGACGAACUUCGCCCACGCCCCCCACGAAGACCAUAGCCCACCCAUUUUUUGGCCAUUUUUCUACUGGGGUUUCUUGGCGCCCCGACCUUCGGGGGCUGAUUUUUGGGCGCGGCUGAGCCCGUGGCCUAUUUUUGGCACACGGAGGCCGCCCGCAAAGUCUGGGGCCAUUCCGAGUCCGGUGGACGAACUUCGCCCACGCCCCCCGCCAAGGCUAUAGCCCACCCGUUUUUUGGCCAUUUUUCCGCUGGCGAGUGUUGGCGCCACGACCUUCGGGCUCUCAUUUUAGGGCGCGGCUGUGCCCGUGGCCUAUUUUUGGCACACGGAGGCCGCCCGCAAAGUUUGAGGCCAUUCCGAGUCCGGCGGACGAACUUCGCCCACGCCCCCCACCAAGGCUAUAGCCCACCCGUUUUUUGGCCAUUUUUCCGCUGGGGGGUGUUGGAACCCCAACCUUCGGGAGCUCAUUUUUGGGUGCGGCUGUGCCCGUGGCCUAUUUUUGGCACACGGAGGCCGCCCGCAAAGUCUGGGGCCAUUCCGAGUCCGGCAGACGAACAUCGCCCACGCCCCCCACCAAGGCUAUAGCCCGUCCGUUUUUUGGCCAUUUUUCCGCUGGGAGUCUUGGCGCCCCGACGGAAAGGGGGCUGAUUUUUGGGCACGGCUGUGCCCGUGGCCUAUUUUUGGCACACGGAGGCUGCCCGCAAAGUCUGGGGCCAUUCCGAGUCCGGCGGACGAACUUCGCCCACGCCCCCCACCAAGGCUAUAGCCCAGCC
Molecule: long non-coding RNA, 1038 nt
Filed under: Citrus x clementina
Lineage: Eukaryota; Viridiplantae; Streptophyta; Magnoliopsida; Sapindales; Rutaceae
Description: Citrus clementina (C. clementina) long non-coding RNA (CCLE_LNC005818)
Source: RNAcentral